Molecule: ribosomal RNA, 257 nt
Filed under: uncultured bacterium
Lineage: Bacteria
Description: partial 16S ribosomal RNA
Rfam family: Bacterial small subunit ribosomal RNA
Source: RNAcentral
AGAGAAGCAAUACCGCGAGGUGGAGCAAAACUUCAAGAAUGGUCUCAGUUCGGACUGUAGGCUGCAACUCGCCUACACGAAGUUGGAAUUGCUAGUAAUCGUGGAUCAGCAUGCCACGGUGAAUACGUUCCCGGGUCUUGUACACACCGCCCGUCACACCAUGGGAGCUGGUAACACCCGAAGUCAGUAGUCUAACCGCAAGGAGGACGCUGCCGAAGGUGGGAUUAGCGACUGGGGUGAAGUCGUAACAAGGUACC